GCUUACGGCCAUACCACCCUGAGCACGUCUGAUCUCGGAAGCUAAGCAAGGUCGGGCCUGGUUAGUACUUGGAUGUGAGACUGCCUAGGAAUACCAGGUGCUGUAAGCU
Ribosomal RNA from Betta splendens (Siamese fighting fish), 109 nucleotides. The record is from Ensembl. NCBI's taxonomy places the organism in Eukaryota, Metazoa, Chordata, Actinopteri, Anabantiformes, Osphronemidae.